RNAcentral lists this long non-coding RNA (619 nucleotides) under Capsicum annuum. RNAcentral's name for it is "long non-coding RNA (CANN_LNC008244)". Lineage: Eukaryota; Viridiplantae; Streptophyta; Magnoliopsida; Solanales; Solanaceae. The record is from RNAcentral.
GGAGUAGUGGCAGUCCAUAACUAUAGUAGUAUCACUUCAACGGCAACCAUAAGAGUAACGGUGAAGAAGCAUGAGCCCAGCCAUAUCUGGCUAUUUUUAGGUGAAAUGGUUACCUCCAUUAAUGGAGGAAAAAAGGAGAAAAAAGUGGAGACAUGGUGGAGUAGUAGAGGCAUAAGGAUAAAUCUUGCUAGUCAUUAACUCCGACGAGAGCCGAUGGGAAAUAAAGAGAAAGAGGGGGAGGCCGUAUUAUGGCUGUUUGGUUGGAGGCUCACCCACCUGCGGCCAACUCUAAUGGAGCCCGGCAUAAAGAAGGAAAAAAGAGAGAGAUCAGUGGGAGAUGAGCGUGGUAGUGGCAUGGAUGGAGCUCGCCAAGCUCCGACAAUAACGGUGAGUGGCGGAAUGGAAGGGAAGAUGGAAAAGAAAAAACUUUCUUUGUGUGUACUUUGUAUAUGUAUAUACGUGUGUUUGUAUAUUUUUUUUGUGUUUGUGUGUGUAUGUAUUUUUUAUGUUUGCGAGAGAGAAAAUAGAAAUAAAAAUUGGUUGCGUGUGUAAUUUUGUGUAUUUUUUUAGAGUGGGAAGAAAAAGGAACAAAAGGUAAGGGUGGUUGUACAAAGAUGUG